This 497-nucleotide ribosomal RNA is filed under the name uncultured bacterium. RNAcentral's name for it is "partial 16S ribosomal RNA". It matches the Rfam family "Bacterial small subunit ribosomal RNA", at positions 28 to 507 of the family's 1533-position model. The record is from RNAcentral.
GAUGAACGCUGGCGGCGUGCCUAAUACAUGCAAGUCGAGCGAACUGACGAGGAGCUUGCUUCUCUGAGGUUAGCGGCGGACGGGUGAGUAACACGUGGAUAACCUACCUAUAAGACUGGGAUAACUUCGGGAAACCGGAGCUAAUACCGGAUAAUAUCUUGAACCGAAUGGUUCAAGAGUGAAAGACGGUUUUGCUGUCACUUAUAGAUGGAUCCGCGCUGCAUUAGCUAGUUGGUAAGGUAACGGCUUACCAAGGCAACGAUGCGUAGCCGACCUGAGAGGGUGAUCGGCCACACUGGAACUGAGACACGGUCCAGACUCCUACGGGAGGCAGCAGUAGGGAAUCUUCCGCAAUGGGCGAAAGCCUGACGGAGCAACGCCGCGUGAGUGAUGAAGGUCUUCGGAUCGUAAAACUCUGUUAUUAGGGAAGAACAAAUGUGUAAGUAACUGUGCACAUCUUGACGGUACCAAAUCAGAAAGCCACGGCUAACUACGUG